UGUUAAAUUAAAUGAGCUGGUGUUACGUACAGAAAGGAAAAAGUAAAAUGGAGUGCAUAUCUGUUUGAAUGAAAGGGGAACCUUCCUCUAAGACUAAAUAUAAUAUAUAAGCGAUAGCGAAUAGUACCGUGAGGGAAAUGAUUGAAAUAGUAAUUUUAUAAGCAGCUCAAAAAUAGUUUAAAUAAACAAUGAGAGCGUACCUUUUGCAUAAUGGGUCAGCAAGUUAAUAUUCGAUGCGAGCAAUAAUGCAAAGAUAAAACAAUUAUGAUAUAAUGAUCUAGUAUCGAAAUUAGACCCGAAGCCUAGUGAUCUUACCAUGAUCAGGAUUAUAAAAGUCCGAACGGGUUAUCGUUGUAAAGAUAUCCGAAGAAUUGUGGUAAGUUAGUGAAAGACAAUUCUGACUAGGAUAGCUGGUUUUCUGCGAAACCUAUAUAAGUAGGUAAUUUAAAUAGAAUAUCAGAAGGUACAGAAUUGUGAUCUCAUGCAACCAGUAUUUAUUUUUAUAUUAAUCAAAAAAUAACAGCUUGCUUGUGUGCUUAUAUUAGCUUACGCUACGUAAGUAUGCAUGUAUGCCUUUUUUAGAGUAAUAUAAAUAAAAAUAUACUUUUUGUGGACAUUGGGGGGUCGUGAAGACUCUAUCAGUGAGUAUUUGUUCUCGGAAGGUCUAGAUAUGUAUAUUGAAUAAUCGGACAUAGUACGAUAAGGUUGUAUGUCUAAAGGGAAAUAGCCCAGAACAAGAGUUAAUAAGGUUCCAAAAUUUUUGUUAAGUGAAAUUAAGGCAGUAUUUAUCCCAAUCGGCCAGGGAAUAGGCUUAGAAGCGGCCAUUUUUUGAAGACCUCGUAACAGAGCACUGGUUUUCUAUUUUAUGGAUAAAAGCACCGAAAAUUUAACGGAUCUAAACAAAAUACCGAUACCUUGUCCAUAUAUAUUAAUGUGUAUAUUAUAUAUUGUAUAUAUGGGGUAGCGGAACAUUGGGUAGCCAUUUUUAAUCCUUUAUAAGGAUUAAAUUGCCUAGAGUUUAAUUUAUUAUUGCUUAUAGUUUAAUUUAUUAUUCUCUGGGCUAAAUAAGCCCAAGUGAUAAUGCUGACAUGAGUAACGAUAAAGGAUCAUUAGUACAUAAAUGUCUAAAAAUCCUCGCCUAAAGCUUAUGGCAUUUAUUAAAGUUACGGCCUCUAAGUUUAUUUUUUUUCAUAGCUUUCGAUUAUCUAUAUAUAGUAUAUAUUUAAGAUCUACAUCUAAAUAGUCGUGAGUUAUGACAAAUUACCUAAUGGUAUAAACGAUGAGAAAACCUAGAGUUUACAGUAAUUAACGUUUUUUAUUUACGUGGUAACUGAAAGUCCGCUUCUCCUCUUGAAUUAUUAUUUUAAUAAUCUAUUCUUAAAGGGAAAACGGUAUCUGUUUACUAAUAUAUUAAGUAAAUUAAGUGAAAAAUGUUCUGGAAAACUGUAAGCUCCGUAAGUAAUAUAAAAAAGUAAACAAAAUGUAUUGUAAGAUAAAAAAGUAAACAAAAUAUAUUGUAAGCUUACGCUAUAAUACCGUACCUAAAUACUAACACAAGUGAGCAAGUAGAGAAUACGAAGGCGUUCGAGCUAACAAUCAUUAAGGAACUCGGCAAAUUGACUCUCGUAACUUCGGGAUAAGGUGGACCAUUUCUUCUCAUUAAUAUCAGGCAAGAAAGAGGAGGCAUAGAAUGGUGUUGUACGACUGUUUAAUUAAAACAAAGCACGCUGCGAAGAAAUAAAUUCGAUGUAUUGAGUGUGAUCUCUGCCCGAUGGCGGCUGGUUAACUAAUUUGCUUAGUUAAAUAAAAUAAGCUAGGCUUUGAUGGAAACCCCGUUCAAUGGCGGCCUUACCUAUAAGGGUCCUAAGGUAGCGUAAUACCUUGGCCGUUAAAUGCGGUCUUGCAUGAAUGAUGUAACGAUACAACAGCUGUCUCUAUGAUUGGCUCGGUGAAAUUGGAAUAACUGUGCAGAUACAGUUUACCUUUAGUUGGACGAGAAGACCCUAUGCAGCUUUACUGUUGCUAGUUACUGAAUAUGAUAUAAUGAGUUGUAGUGUAUAAGGUAAUUAAUAUAGAAUUGAAACACCUUUACUUCAUUUAUCAUAUUAUAUAAACCUUACAAGCAAAUUGCCAGUAAAGUCAAUAAAUAUAAUUACUGGUUGUAAGAUUUGAUAGGAACAAUUGCUAGGUGGCAGUUUAUGCGGGGCACAGAUCCCAUAAAGAGUACCUGGGAGUAUCCAAAGACAUUUUUUUUAGAUUGCAAUUUGCAAUUUAAUAUGAACUUUUAUUAGUAUAAAUUCAUAUUUUUAGUUUGCAAUAAGUGUUAUAUUAUAAUAUAACGCUAAUUUAAUUAUAAAUCCAUUUAAGUUGGAACUUUUUUUUUAUUUAGGUAAGAUUUUAACUAUAUUUCAAUAUAGAUGUAAUUAAAUCAUUAUGAGGUGCCAGUGUGGCAUAUUAAGGUAAUUAGAAAUAAUAUAAUGUGCUGUGAUAUAUUUUUCUACGUAUGUAUACUGAUAAGUUGUUGAUCUUUUUUAUUUUUAUUACCUAUUGGUGUUUAACUUAUGAUACUUAUAGCAUAUACACCAAGUUAAGCCUGCUUAAGGAGUAGGAGCAAAAAAAAAGAAAGAUAAAAAACAACAAGAGGUAUUAGUUAAUCAAAAAGAAAAUAGUAUCACUUUUAUUGUUAACUUAUUGUGUGUAUGUUUGCAAAGAUAUACAACCACGCCACUACUUAUGCAUGACUGCGUUGGUAAAAAUUUAUUAGCUAUUAUAUUUUAGCUGAUUUGCAUAAUGAUUUUUGUUGUAGACUAGUCUACAUAAUGUAUUAUAUAUAUUUAACUCGUAAAUAUAUAUGUGUAUAUUUAUAUACUAGGUAUAUGAUAGUUAUUUUACUUAUCAAGUUUAACGGCUUAAUCUUGCUUUACUGUUUGACUUACAUGUCUUUCAGUUGCGUAAGCGGGGCAUAUGAUCACAAGAUGCAGAAAGGAAAGGUCUUGGAUUAUUGAAAAAGUUACGCUAGGGAUAACAGGCUAAUCCCGCCAGAGAGUUCAAAUUGAGUGCGGGGUUUGGCACCUCGAUGUCGGCUUAGCUCAUCCACAUGAAUGUAGGAGUCAUGAAGGGUCCGACUGUUCGUCGAUUAAAGAGCUACAUGAGCUGGGUUAAAUACGUUGUAAGACAGUAUGGUUUCUAUCCUCUAGAGGAAGUUGGAAUAAAUUAAGGAUAGCCCCUUGUACGAGAGGAAUUGGGUAUAUUAACCUAUGGUUUACCUGUUGUUUGUAUUGCCAUAUUAUUGUAACUGAUAGAGAUAUUGUCUUUAUUUUGUUAUAGCCUCUGAGUUUAUAACCAAGAACGCAAUAUUCUGGGUGUCAUGGCUUAUGCUGGCAAUUACUUUUCACUAAAGUAAUAUUUACUUAGGCAGUAAUAAACUGAAAUAGAUGAUAUGUCUAGUAAAAAGGCACGGCAGGAAAGCUACGUUAGUUAAUGAUAAGUGCUGAAUGCAUAUAGGCACGAAACAUACCUUAGGAUAUUCUCAUAUAUACGUAGUUUAAUACUACAAUUUUAGUUUUUAUUAAUAGGCUUU
Molecule: ribosomal RNA, 3580 nt
Filed under: Cladonia macilenta
Lineage: Eukaryota; Fungi; Ascomycota; Lecanoromycetes; Lecanorales; Cladoniaceae
Description: large subunit ribosomal RNA
Rfam family: Bacterial large subunit ribosomal RNA
Source: RNAcentral